This 274-nucleotide long non-coding RNA is filed under the name Mytilus galloprovincialis (Mediterranean mussel). The record is from RNAcentral. Lineage: Eukaryota; Metazoa; Mollusca; Bivalvia; Mytilida; Mytilidae.
AACCAAACUCCGGACAGUGAUCGUUUCCGUUCCGGAACUGUUUUCCUUUACUCCAUCAAUCACUGCCACCGGCUUUCGAAAUUCGUUCCAAAUUUUGGAACGAUUAUCUACGCAAUAAAUUUCCUCAGAACCAUUAGUUACCGGCUUGAAAAACUUCAAUUUGAUAAUUUCUUCCCAAAAUUUAAACAACUUUUCCUAGAUUUAAAAAAUGAGCAUUAAAUUUACGUCCCACACAGGACCUUUAUUAUGUGUGCAUUCUUAUCUAAGUUAUCUC